GGGCCCAUAGCUCAGCCUGGUAAGAGCAGCUGACUCAUAAUCAGUUGGUCCCUGGUUCGAAUCCAGGUGGGCCCACCG
RNAcentral lists this transfer RNA (78 nucleotides) under Acidobacteria bacterium 13_1_40CM_4_69_4. RNAcentral's name for it is "tRNA-Met". It matches the Rfam family "tRNA". From Rfam's summary of the family: Transfer RNA (tRNA) molecules are approximately 80 nucleotides in length. The record is from RNAcentral. Lineage: Bacteria; Pseudomonadati; Acidobacteriota.